CGUGUAGGCGGCCAGGCAAGUCAGAUGUGAAAGUCCCGGGCUCAACUCGGGAAGUGCAUUUGAAACUGCUUGGCUUGAGUAAGAGAGAGGAAAGUGGAAUUCCUGGUGUAGAGGUGAAAUUCGUAGAUAUCAGGAGGAACACCGGUGGCGAAGGCGGCUUUCUGGCUCUAUACUGACGCUGAGACGCGAAAGCGUGGGUAGCAAACAGGAUUAGAUACCCUGGUAGUCC
This 229-nucleotide ribosomal RNA is filed under the name uncultured bacterium. RNAcentral describes it as "partial 16S ribosomal RNA". It matches the Rfam family "Bacterial small subunit ribosomal RNA", at positions 568 to 796 of the family's 1533-position model. The record is from RNAcentral.